RNAcentral lists this ribosomal RNA (444 nucleotides) under uncultured bacterium. Its description in RNAcentral is "partial 16S ribosomal RNA". It matches the Rfam family "Bacterial small subunit ribosomal RNA", at positions 339 to 795 of the family's 1533-position model. The record is from RNAcentral.
CUACGGGGGGCUGCAGUGAGGAAUAUUGCACAAUGGGCGAAAGCCUGAUGCAGCAACGCCGCGUGAGGGACGACGGCCUUCGGGUUGUAAACCUCUUUUAGCAGGGGAGAAGCGAAAGUGACGGUACCUGCAGAAAAAGCACCGGCUAACUACGUGCCAGCAGCCGCGGUAAUACGUAGGGUGCAAGCGUUGUCCGGAAUUAUUGGGCGUAAAGAGCUCGUAGGCGGUUUGUCGCGUCUGCUGUGAAAAUCCGAGGCUCAACCUCGGACCUGCAGUGGGUACGGGCAAACUAGAGUGCGGUAGGGGAGAUUGGAAUUCCUGGUGUAGCGGUGGAAUGCGCAGAUAUCAGGAGGAACACCAAUGGGGAAGGCAGAUCUCUGGGCCGUAACUGACGCUGAGGAGCGAAAGCGUGGGGAGCGAACAGGAUUAGAUACCCCCGUAGUC